Rosa chinensis is the source of this 2305-nucleotide RNA transcript. RefSeq lists it as uncharacterized. The transcript has 7 exons. The record is from RefSeq and is a predicted model, not a curated record. NCBI's taxonomy places the organism in Eukaryota, Viridiplantae, Streptophyta, Magnoliopsida, Rosales, Rosaceae.
AUUUUUAUUGAAGGUAGCAAGGAUAGAAAUCUGUUCAAACAAAAGAAAAGAGGAAACGACCGAAUGGAACGCGCUACACGCGCUCAGAGUCGAGUAACUAUGUGAAAUUGGGGCUUAGGGUUUUUGAUCGAAAUCUUCUUGAUCUCGUGGGUAGUUAGGUGGUGAUCCUUCUGGUCUCAUCCUCUCUCUCAUUGGAACCUGUUUUGUUCCUUCGCUCGUCAUGAUUUAAAGCUCGAUCAAAUCGUUUCUGUAUUAGGAUUGCUAUAUUAGUCUUUGACACACUCUCGCUCUGCAGGCUGCAAACCUCUGACGCCGACUCUAAGAUCUGUCUGCCGCCGCAGCCGCAAAUGGGUAUUCUCUUCUCUCACUUCUCCACCUCAAAGACCGGUAGUAGUUCUUGGAAGUCGACAACCCUCUUCUGUUCUUGAACCCGAUCCAGUUUUACUUCAAACACCGGUUCUUGGGUCUUCUUCUGUUCUUGAAUUUGAUCUUGAAAGACUGGUUCCUUGGGCUUCGACUUCGGCCUCGGUGUCUCUGAAAUUAUUUGAUGUCUUCAAGUAGAAAUCAAUCUUUAGUUAAUUGCUUGAUAUCUUCACUGUCUAUUUUUCAUUGCUACUUAGGAUUAUUUAUAUCUUAUUGGCUUAUCCUUGAAUAAGUCUUUUGCUUAGCUUCACACUGUAUGUGAAAACUUUGCAUCGUUAAGCUCUCAGCUUUGAAUAAAAGUUUGUCAUGUUUAUGAAUAAAAUGCAGAGAUCUGUUUCUAACAAUGUUGUUGGUAGCUUUUCAAUUCUCUUGUGCCUUUGUUAGUGCUGUGAUUAUCCAUUGUGCUAUCUGAAUUGUUUAUGUGCUUUUGCUCAUUGAUUUCUCUAAAUGAAGCUUUGUAUGUCCACUGAUAGCAAUACUUUGAUGCAUCAGUUUAUUUGGUUUGAGACUUUUAAUUGGUGAUUUUCCUAUGACUACUAUCAAGUAACACAUGAUAAUAUUACUGAAGAUUCUGAUAUGUUAAAGUAGGAUAUAAUGGUUUGAAUUACAUGAGUUAAUUUGAAAUGAUUGAUUGUGUCAGGGGUUAGUACUUUGUAGUAUCUAUUAUUUGUUCGUUGGCAUAUGAAGAAGUAUGAGAAGGGGGAGGAAUAGGAAGACACCAGUUGUUCUGUUUCUGUAUCAUAUGCAUAUAUCCCUAUUCUAGUUCUUGUUGGUUUAAUUUCACCUUCCAAGUUCCAGCUGUUGCACCUUAUUAAGCAGAGUAAAUGGAGAACUUAUUUUGUGUUACUUACUGACAUUUUUUUAAUGCUCAUAUGCGUAGAAACUUAAGGUACAUAUACAUUUUGUCUGGUAAGCAUAUAAUAACAUAGUUGAAUGGUAUCACACCAAGGCUUUCACCUCCGCAAUAAAGUUUAAUAGCAAAUAUUAAUGAUUGACAUUUGCUUCUUCAUGAAGUUGAUAAAGGAAACUGGUUACCUUGUCCCAGGAAUGCUUGGCAUCAGCUUGGCAACAUGAGUGCAGAGGUAGCAAUGGAGCAGUACAUCACUCUUCUUUCAGAAAGUGUUCCUUGGUGGAUGCAAGAUGUUCAUGGUGACUUUGCAGAUCCCCAAGUACAUGAGACGGUAACUACUUAUCUGGACACAUUGAUUCAAAACCAAUCAAACGCUGCAGGUGUAAGAAGAGUAGAAGAACUAAAGCCUAAUGUUAAAGGUUUAGAUGAGAUUGGGGUGGGGGUCGUAACUUCAACUUAACCUAUGGAAUACCUUGAGAAGGUUGGAACCUCAAAACAAUGAACCCUAGUCUCUUAUCGGAGAUUUCAAUAAUAUUUGCUAACUGAGGAGAAAAUUGGGGGAUUAACAGACUCUGCGAGUUGUCUUUCUUUAAUAAGGUUAGAGUAUCUGGUAUCCCAGAUUAUCUCCAAUUUCUUGGCUGUGAUUGCAGACAUCUUGGAGAUGACAUAGUUCAUAAGAGUUCUGCAGCAGGAAUUAAAUGCCGUUGAGAAGGACAAGGAUGCGUUCAUUGAGGACUUUUCUAAGGAGGACUAGAAUGACAUGGUGGAUGGAAGGUAAAAGCUGGAUAGGACUAACUCUAGAGAGCAGAAGGGGGCCUCUUCAUUGCCAAGAAUAAAUGAUUGUGACACCUCAAGUUUUGCGAGUGCAAUAUUGUACUCGAGUUGGAUAUUCAUUUCAGAUAAACAUUGUAUUCAGUUGCUGGUGUGUUGUGCUGUAGACGGUCUUAUCUUAAACUAUGUCGUUGUCCUAUUAGUGUUUGAACGUUUGUUGUCUAUAAUAAAGGAAUCGGGGUUUGUCUUUGCUCAUGUGUA